Long non-coding RNA from Alexandromys fortis (reed vole), 2827 nucleotides. RefSeq lists it as uncharacterized. NCBI's taxonomy places the organism in Eukaryota, Metazoa, Chordata, Mammalia, Rodentia, Cricetidae. The record is from RefSeq and is a predicted model, not a curated record. The transcript is spliced from 7 exons.
GUGGUCUGGGGAGAGAGUACACAUGGGCCAUGCCCAUGGAGGCUAUAGGAAGACAAUGGGGAUCUUGCCCAACCACUCCUCACCUCAUUCCCCUGAGACAGGGCCUCUCACUGAACCUGGUGGCCAGCAAGUCCCAGGGACCUCCUGUCUCCUCCCUACACAGUGGUGGGAUCAUGGGCCUGUGAGGGUACUGGGGAAUCAACUCAGGCCUCAUGUUUGUGUAGCAACUGCUCACUCUUAUCCACCGAGCCACCUCCCCAGCUCCUAGGUUUGUUUCCCUUCUUUCUUUCUAAAGGAGAUUUUAUAUAUUUGUUUGUUUGUUUAUUGUGUGUUGGUUAGGGGACGAGACUCACAUGUGCCACAGUGUAAGUCUAGAAGUCAGAGGACGAGGUAGGGGGAAUGGCUCUCUCCUUCUACAGUGUGGAUUCCAGGAACUGAACUCUGGUCCUUGGGCUUGCUGGCAAGCACCUUUCCUCUCUCAGCCAUCUCGCUGGCCUGCUGGGUAUGUUUUCUGAUGGUUGUUGCAGUAUUUGGAUGGGACCACCCAGAGCCAUCUUGAACCAGGAGGAAAGCCAAGCUGUGGAUGAGAGAGCAGAGAGAUGGAAGGAAGAAGAUGCCACAGGAAACCAUUUAGAGGACAAGCUGGGGGGCGGGGGGGGGGGGGCUAGUGAGCCUCUACUUGCAGUUGCAAAGAAAUAUCCUUACUGUCUGUUAGUCUUCUGACAUCUGCCCUGAAGACAUCCUAGCCAGACAUGGUGGCACACGUGGUUCAUGACACUAACUCUCCAGUCUCAUCUGCUUAACCUUCCUCCCACACUUCAGACAAACUAAAAGUCAAACCAGCUUCUUUGGGACGCUGCACUAGAGAGUGCCCCUCUCUAUCCUGGCUGCAAUCGGUCCUUCCAAAGUGGACUCAGUGGGUCGAAGGAACUCUUGGACCCAGACCAGCUCAGCAGUCCCUUCAGAUCCAUCGGGCCCAAUUGCAGUCAUGGAUCUUGACGACUGUCCUGUUUCUCAGGCAGGGCACCUCUAAGGACCGCUCCCGCCACUCUCACGCACAGCUGGAAAGACUCGGUAGCCAUCCUCUCCUGUCCCAAACCGAGCACUUCCUUCACCAGGUGCCAAGCAACGGUCCAGACUUGCAGGGAGCGUUCUGUUGGGACAGUCUGUCUGUCCAGGGGCGGGAAGGAGCUCCAGGCAGUCUCUGUGGACAGCAGGGGACCGGCUCAGUUUGCUGCAAAGAUUUCUCGGGGCUCUCUUUCCAAGGAAACUUUUGCAGGGCUCCGCUGUCCAGUUGCUCAGAUACAUUAAGAGAGAAGAUUGGGUUGAGCCAAAUGGGUUGGUUUGAAUGAAAAUGACUCCCGAAGACAUACAGGGAAGUGGCACUAUUAGGAGGUGUAGAACUCUCAGCUGCCUCUCCAGCUCCAUGUCUGCUUGUGUCCUGCCAUGCUUCCCACCGUGAUGAUAACGGACUGACCCUCUGAACCUAUGUCACGUGUUCCCUGACCGUGAUUGUUUCCCGCCCCUGGGCUGGUCUCUCUGCUCACAGUCCUGUGAACUCAUUCAAUAAGACCCUCAAGUACCUAGUGUGGCCAAAGCUGUAGGAGUACUGAGACGAAAGCAGCAGAGAUUCCGCCUUCCAGAUCCUCAUCCCGUACAUAGUGAGGGAGAUGGACCAAAACCUGCCUUCCCAGGACGCUCCUUUGCUUCUCAAACAACGUGCCAGGCAAUAGAGGCCAGAGGGAAAUGGCACCAGCCUCACUGCAGGCUCAGACGGUUCAGGAGAUGACGCUCAGCAUGGGCCAGGAGGCACCUGGCACAGAUCCAAAGACCUGUCCAUUAAGCUGACCGCCUGCCGCUGCUCCUGGCCCUCCUGUCACUUCUUUCUCUUCCCCCUUUCUGCUGUCAGGAGAUAGAGGGAGGUGUGCAUUGCCUUGCUGGGCUGUCAAGAUCCGGGUGGGCCCUUCAUCACGUAUUAAACAUUAAUGGAGAUAUUUUUUAAAACUUUGCUUACUUCACUUAUUUUUUAAUUUUCAUUUUAUUUAUUCUUUGUGUCUUUCACAUCAUGUCUCCACAUCAUGUCUUCCGAUCUCACCUGCCUCCCCACCUCCCCCCCCCAAAAAACAGAACAAAAUUUAAGAGAAGAAGGUGGGUGGUGGGAAGGAAGAAAUGGAGAAUCCCGUAAUGGAAGCUUCGGUGUAACGCAGUGAGACACGCAGUAAACCCCUUUGUCUAUACAUUUUCACAUGUAGGCGUUCAUCGCAAAGAAUAACUGGUCUGACUCGAGGUUCCUGGUCUCUGCUACAGCAUCGAUCGCUGGGCCCUCCCUGGGACUCUUCCUGGACAUCCCCCUGCUGCCCUGUGUGGCAGGGAUCCUGCAGCCCGGGGUCCACAGGACUGCCCCACCCGACUCCCACCUCAUGCUCCAGGAGUACAGAUGGGGUGGAUGUUGGGUUCCCUGCUGCCCGGCACACUUGAGAACCCACGGUGGUGUGGAAGAUGUGUGCAGUGAAGGAAGCAAUGGAUGAAGUAGUAUGUGGUCCACACCAACUGCGGAUGCUCCGAGCUCCAAGCUCUGAGCUUCCAGCUCCAGAAAUGCUCUGAAGAAACAGGGGCCAAGAAUGGCGGCAGGAACCCAGCAUCACUCAGCACAGCUGGCUGAGUACAGUCUAGGACACCAGCCCACAAGAUGGUGCUGCCUACAUUCAGGGCAGGUCUUCCCUCUUCGCUGAACCGCUCUAGAAACGCCCUCACAGACGGACCUAGAGUUACAUCUCUUUGGUGAUUAUAAAUGCAGACAAGUUGACUGGCCCCCAUAUUCCUAAAA